This 460-nucleotide ribosomal RNA is filed under the name uncultured bacterium. RNAcentral describes it as "partial 16S ribosomal RNA". It matches the Rfam family "Bacterial small subunit ribosomal RNA", at positions 338 to 795 of the family's 1533-position model. The record is from RNAcentral.
CCUACGGGAGGCAGCAGUGAGGAAUCUUGGUCAAUGGACGAGAGUCUGAACCAGCCAAGUAGCGUGAAGGAUGACUGCCCUAUGGGUUGUAAACUUCUUUUAUAAAGGAAUAAAACGAGGCACGUGUGCCUUUUUGCAUGUACUUUAUGAUUAAGGAUCGGCUAACUCCGUGCCAGCAGCCGCGGUAAUACGGAGGAUCCGAGCGUUAUCCGGAUUUGUUGGGUUUAAAGGGAGAGUAGAUGGGUUGUUAAGUCAGUUGUGAAAGUUUGCGGCUCAACCGUAAAAUUGCAUGUGAUACUGGCAGUCUUGAGUACAGGUGAGGUGGGCGGAAUUCGUGGUGUAGCGGUGAAAUGCUUAGAUAUCACGAAGAACCCCGAUUGCGAAGGCAGCUUACUAACCUGUGACUGACGUUGAUGCUCGAAAGUGUGGGUAGCAAACAGGAUUAGAUACCCGAGUAGUC